GCAAGUCGAACGGUAACAGGAAGCAGCUUGCUGCUUUGCUGACGAGUGGCGGACGGGUGAGUAAUGUCUGGGAAACUGCCUGAUGGAGGGGGAUAACUACUGGAAACGGUAGCUAAUACCGCAUAACGUCGCAAGACCAAAGAGGGGGACCUUCGGGCCUCUUGCCAUCGGAUGUGCCCAGAUGGGAUUAGCUAGUAGGUGGGGUAACGGCUCACCUAGGCGACGAUCCCUAGCUGGUCUGAGAGGAUGACCAGCCACACUGGAACUGAGACACGGUCCAGACUCCUACGGGAGGCAGCAGUGGGAAAUAUUGCACAAUGGGCGCAAGCCUGAUGCAGCCAUGCCGCGUGUAUGAAGAAGGCCUUCGGGUUGUAAAGUACUUUCAGCGGGGAGGAAGGCGAUAAGGUUAAUAACCUUGUCGAUUGACGUUACCCGCAGAAGAAGCACCGGCUAACUCCGUGCCAGCAGCCGCGGUAAUACGGAGGGUGCAAGCGUUAAUCGGAAUUACUGGGCGUAAAGCGCACGCAGGCGGUCUGUCAAGUCGGAUGUGAAAUCCCCGGGCUCAACCUGGGAACUGCAUUCGAAACUGGCAGGCUAGAGUCUUGUAGAGGGGGGUAGAAUUCCAGGUGUAGCGGUGAAAUGCGUAGAGAUCUGGAGGAAUACCGGUGGCGA
RNAcentral lists this ribosomal RNA (672 nucleotides) under uncultured Enterobacter sp. RNAcentral's name for it is "bacterial SSU rRNA". It matches the Rfam family "Bacterial small subunit ribosomal RNA", at positions 57 to 718 of the family's 1533-position model. Lineage: Bacteria; Pseudomonadati; Pseudomonadota; Gammaproteobacteria; Enterobacterales; Enterobacteriaceae. The record is from RNAcentral.